This 240-nucleotide ribosomal RNA is filed under the name uncultured bacterium. Its description in RNAcentral is "partial 16S ribosomal RNA". It matches the Rfam family "Bacterial small subunit ribosomal RNA", at positions 15 to 244 of the family's 1533-position model. The record is from RNAcentral.
GAUCAUGGCUCAGGAUGAACGCUAGCUACAGGCUUAACACAUGCAAGUCGAGGGGAAACGAUAUUGGAAGCUUGCUUCCGAUAGGCGUCGACCGGCGCACGGGUGAGUAACGCGUAUCCAACCUGCCCACCACUUGGGGAUAACCUUGCGAAAGUAAGACUAAUACCCAAUGAUAUCUCUAGAAGACAUCUGAAAGGGAUUAAAGAUUUAUCGGUGAUGGAUGGGGAUGCGUCUGAUUAG